CAGCCGCCGCGGUAAUACGUAGGUGGUAAGCGUUGUCCGGAAUUAUUGGGCGUAAAGGGCUCGCAGGCGGUUUCUUAAGUCUGAUGUGAAAGCCCCCGGCUCAACCGGGGAGGGUCAUUGGAAACUGGGAAACUUGAGUGCAGAAGAGGAGAGUGGAAUUCCACGUGUAGCGGUGAAAUGCGUAGAGAUGUGGAGGAACACCAGUGGCGAAGGCGAUUCUCUGGUCUGUAACUGACGCUGAGGAGCGAAAGCGUGGGGAGCGAACAGGAUUAGAUACCCGGGUAGUCCCUGUCUCUUAUAC
RNAcentral lists this ribosomal RNA (301 nucleotides) under uncultured bacterium. Its description in RNAcentral is "partial 16S ribosomal RNA". It matches the Rfam family "Bacterial small subunit ribosomal RNA", at positions 509 to 807 of the family's 1533-position model. The record is from RNAcentral.